RNAcentral lists this ribosomal RNA (2893 nucleotides) under Pseudomonas syringae. RNAcentral's name for it is "23S ribosomal RNA". It matches the Rfam family "Bacterial large subunit ribosomal RNA". Lineage: Bacteria; Pseudomonadati; Pseudomonadota; Gammaproteobacteria; Pseudomonadales; Pseudomonadaceae. The record is from RNAcentral.
GGUCAAGUGAAGAAGCGCAUACGGUGGAUGCCUUGGCAGUCAGAGGCGAUGAAAGACGUGGUAGCCUGCGAAAAGCUUCGGGGAGUCGGCAAACAGACUGUGAUCCGGAGAUAUCUGAAUGGGGGAACCCAGCCAUCAUAAGAUGGUUAUCUUGUACUGAAUACAUAGGUGCAAGAGGCGAACCAGGGGAACUGAAACAUCUAAGUACCCUGAGGAAAAGAAAUCAACCGAGAUUCCCUUAGUAGUGGCGAGCGAACGGGGACCAGCCCUUAAGUUGUAUUGAGAUUAGCGGAACGUUCUGGAAAGGACGGCCAUAGUGGGUGAUAGCCCUGUACGCGAAAAUCCCUUUGCAAUGAAAUCGAGUAGGACGGGGCACGAGAAACCUUGUCUGAAUAUGGGGGGACCAUCCUCCAAGGCUAAAUACUACUGACUGACCGAUAGUGAACCAGUACCGUGAGGGAAAGGCGAAAAGAACCGCGGAGAGCGGAGUGAAAUAGAUCCUGAAACCGUAUGCGUACAAGCAGUGGGAGCCCACUUUGUUGGGUGACUGCGUACCUUUUGUAUAAUGGGUCAGCGACUUAUUUUCAGUGGCGAGCUUAACCGAAUAGGGGAGGCGUAGCGAAAGCGAGUCUUAAUAGGGCGUCUAGUCGCUGGGAAUAGACCCGAAACCGGGCGAUCUAUCCAUGGGCAGGUUGAAGGUUGGGUAACACUAACUGGAGGACCGAACCGACUACCGUUGAAAAGUUAGCGGAUGACCUGUGGAUCGGAGUGAAAGGCUAAUCAAGCUCGGAGAUAGCUGGUUCUCCUCGAAAGCUAUUUAGGUAGCGCCUCAUGUAUCACUGUAGGGGGUAGAGCACUGUUUCGGCUAGGGGGUCAUCCCGACUUACCAAACCGAUGCAAACUCCGAAUACCUACAAGUGCCGAGCAUGGGAGACACACGGCGGGUGCUAACGUCCGUCGUGAAAAGGGAAACAACCCAGACCGUCAGCUAAGGUCCCAAAGUCAUGGUUAAGUGGGAAACGAUGUGGGAAGGCUUAGACAGCUAGGAGGUUGGCUUAGAAGCAGCCACCCUUUAAAGAAAGCGUAAUAGCUCACUAGUCGAGUCGGCCUGCGCGGAAGAUGUAACGGGGCUCAAACCAUGCACCGAAGCUACGGGUAUCAUCUUUUGAUGAUGCGGUAGAGGAGCGUUCUGUAAGCCUGUGAAGGUGAGUUGAGAAGCUUGCUGGAGGUAUCAGAAGUGCGAAUGCUGACAUGAGUAACGACAAUGGGUGUGAAAAACACCCACGCCGAAAGACCAAGGUUUCCUGCGCAACGUUAAUCGACGCAGGGUUAGUCGGUCCCUAAGGCGAGGCUGAAAAGCGUAGUCGAUGGAAAACAGGUUAAUAUUCCUGUACUUCUGGUUAUUGCGAUGGAGGGACGGAGAAGGCUAGGCCAGCCUGGCGUUGGUUGUCCAGGUUUAAGGUGGUAGGCUGAGAUCUUAGGUAAAUCCGGGAUCUUAAGGCCGAGAGCUGAUGACGAGUGUUCUUUAGAACACGAAGUGGUUGAUGCCAUGCUUCCAAGAAAAGCUUCUAAGCUUCAGGUAACCAGGAACCGUACCCCAAACCGACACAGGUGGUUGGGUAGAGAAUACCAAGGCGCUUGAGAGAACUCGGGUGAAGGAACUAGGCAAAAUGGCACCGUAACUUCGGGAGAAGGUGCGCCGGUGAGGGUGAAGCAUUUACUGCGUAAGCUCAUGCCGGUCGAAGAUACCAGGCCGCUGCGACUGUUUAUUAAAAACACAGCACUCUGCAAACACGAAAGUGGACGUAUAGGGUGUGACGCCUGCCCGGUGCCGGAAGGUUAAUUGAUGGGGUUAGCGCAAGCGAAGCUCUUGAUCGAAGCCCCGGUAAACGGCGGCCGUAACUAUAACGGUCCUAAGGUAGCGAAAUUCCUUGUCGGGUAAGUUCCGACCUGCACGAAUGGCGUAACGAUGGCGGCGCUGUCUCCACCCGAGACUCAGUGAAAUUGAAAUCGCUGUGAAGAUGCAGUGUAUCCGCGGCUAGACGGAAAGACCCCGUGAACCUUUACUAUAGCUUUGCACUGGACUUUGAAUUUGCUUGUGUAGGAUAGGUGGGAGGCUUUGAAGCGUGGACGCCAGUCUGCGUGGAGCCAACCUUGAAAUACCACCCUGGCAACUUUGAGGUUCUAACUCAGGUCCGUUAUCCGGAUCGAGGACAGUGUAUGGUGGGUAGUUUGACUGGGGCGGUCUCCUCCUAAAGAGUAACGGAGGAGUACGAAGGUGCGCUCAGACCGGUCGGAAAUCGGUCGUAGAGUAUAAAGGCAAAAGCGCGCUUGACUGCGAGACAGACACGUCGAGCAGGUACGAAAGUAGGUCUUAGUGAUCCGGUGGUUCUGUAUGGAAGGGCCAUCGCUCAACGGAUAAAAGGUACUCCGGGGAUAACAGGCUGAUACCGCCCAAGAGUUCAUAUCGACGGCGGUGUUUGGCACCUCGAUGUCGGCUCAUCACAUCCUGGGGCUGAAGCCGGUCCCAAGGGUAUGGCUGUUCGCCAUUUAAAGUGGUACGCGAGCUGGGUUUAGAACGUCGUGAGACAGUUCGGUCCCUAUCUGCCGUGGACGUUUGAGAUUUGAGAGGGGCUGCUCCUAGUACGAGAGGACCGGAGUGGACGAACCUCUGGUGUUCCGGUUGUCACGCCAGUGGCAUUGCCGGGUAGCUAUGUUCGGAAAAGAUAACCGCUGAAAGCAUCUAAGCGGGAAACUUGCCUCAAGAUGAGAUCUCACUGGAACCUUGAGUUCCCUAAAGGGCCGUCGAAGACUACGACGUUGAUAGGUUGGGUGUGUAAGCGCUGUGAGGCGUUGAGCUAACCAAUACUAAUUGCCCGUGAGGCUUGACCAU